GAGGGGAGGGCGCCAGUGGGGAGUGGCCCGGAGAGGGGCCCAGGCCCGGCACCUGGGCCAAGCUGGCCAGGGGCCAAGUCUGCUGCCCCUGCGGAGGGAGGCCGUUCCCUUGCCGCCCCACCCUGGGGGCUCCAGGCCGAGGGCUUGCCAGUCCAUCUCUGCCAACUGAGCGCUGUGCCCAGCCCGCCCCCUCCAACCCUGCCUGUCGCCCAAUUAGAGGCUGCGUUGGCUCCAACAGAUGGGAGCUGCGGCAGCCUGAGAACAGAGCACAAAGCCCCGCUGACAUUUUCCUCCGUUCUUUGGUGGGGGAGGAAGGGCAGGGACGCAGGGGGAGCCCAGGUCUACGGCGUUGCUUCCUUCGGCGACUCAGCCCAGCCCAGAAGGCUCAGCCCCUCCCGGCCCAGCGGCUCCACCUGCGCAGCCGGAGCCCGCACCGCUGGUUGCCAGCAGGACGCACGGCCCACCUGUGGCUGGCCAGGCCGCCGGUCUCCGGGGUGCUGGGUGGGCUCAGGGCUACUCUUCCGUUUCCGGGGCUCCCCCUCUGCAGCCCCCAGGCUGAGCCCAAAGCCGGCCCAUCCCCCACCCCAAAUGUCCCAUCUUGCGCUUCAGUCUGACCUCAGGCGAGGAGGAGACCCCCAGCCUCUGGUCCCCGACACUCGGAACAGACCCAAGGCCACCACGUCCCCCUGCACCGACAGUCGAGCUCCAAAAAAGCGGACGUCCCGCGGCUCCGGGGCGCCUCACCCUGGCGCUGGGCAGCCCCGUCACACCCUCCCUGACCUCUCUGCCCCUCUCGGCUCCCGCACAACUCCAGGCCCGCAAGGCCAGCAACAGUUCGGGGAGGCUCAAAGGCCCUCCGGGGUGGAGGCCCGCACGCCCCCGCCCGCCGCCAGCUCCUUCGCGCCGCUCGGCCGCCGCCUCCUCCCGAGCCGCCGCCAACCCUGCGGGCACCGCGGGCGACGCCAGCGGCCGCCUCUCCCCCGGCCCCCAAACCGGCCAGGCCGAGCGCCCCGCGGCGGCUGCUCCGGCCGCGUCCCCGCAGCAUCUUCUGCGGCCUCAAGUCCACUACGCUC
RNAcentral lists this long non-coding RNA (1073 nucleotides) under Oryctolagus cuniculus (rabbit). RNAcentral describes it as "lncRNA (ENSOCUG00000037204.1)". The record is from RNAcentral. Lineage: Eukaryota; Metazoa; Chordata; Mammalia; Lagomorpha; Leporidae.